This 497-nucleotide ribosomal RNA is filed under the name uncultured bacterium. RNAcentral's name for it is "partial 16S ribosomal RNA". It matches the Rfam family "Bacterial small subunit ribosomal RNA", at positions 28 to 507 of the family's 1533-position model. The record is from RNAcentral.
GAUGAACGCUGGCGGCGUGCCUAAUACAUGCAAUUCGAGCGAACAGACGAGGAGCUUGCUCCUCUGACGUUAGCGGCGGACGGGUGAGUAACACGUUGAUAACCUACCUAUAAGACUGUGAUAACUUCGGGAAACCGGAGCUAAUACCGGAUAAUAUAUUGAACCGCAUGGUUCAAUAGUGAAAGACGGUUUUGCUGUCACUUAUAGAUGGAUCCGCGCCGCAUUAGCUAGUUGGUAAGGUAACGGCUUACCAAGGCAACGAUGCGUAGCCGACCUGAGAGGGUGAUCGGCCACACUGGAACUGAGACACGGUCCAGACUCCUACGGGAGGCAGCAGUAGGGAAUCUUCCGCAAUGGGCGAAAGCCUGACGGAGCAACGCCGCGUGAGUGAUGAAGGUCUUCGGAUCGUAAAACUCUGUUAUUAGGGAAGAACAAAUGUGUAAGUAAAUAUGCACGUCUUGACGGUACCUAAUCAGAAAGCCACGGCUAACUACGUG